AUUGAACGCUGGCGGCAGGCCUAACACAUGCAAGUCGAACGAGUGGCGGACGGGUGAGUAAUGUCUGGGAAACUGCCUGAUGGAGGGGGAUAACUACUGGAAACGGUAGCUAAUACCGCAUACCCACAGAUGUGCCCAGAUGGGAUUAGCUUGUUGGUGGGGUAACGGCUCACCAAGGCGACGAUCCCUAGCUGGGCUGAGAGGAUGACCAGCCACACUGGAACUGAUAUACUGUCCAGCUGCCUACUGGAGUCAGCAGUGGGGAAUAUUGCACAAUGGGCGCAAGCCCGAUGCAGCCAUGCCGCUUGUAGGAAGAAGGCCUUCGGUUUGUAAAGUACUUUCAGCGGGGAGGCGUUACCCGCAGAAGAAGCACCGGCUAACUCCGUGCCAGCCGCCGCGGUAAUAC
This 406-nucleotide ribosomal RNA is filed under the name uncultured bacterium. RNAcentral describes it as "partial 16S ribosomal RNA". It matches the Rfam family "Bacterial small subunit ribosomal RNA", at positions 30 to 526 of the family's 1533-position model. The record is from RNAcentral.